Long non-coding RNA from Equus caballus (horse), 1501 nucleotides. RefSeq lists it as uncharacterized. The record is from RefSeq and is a predicted model, not a curated record. NCBI's taxonomy places the organism in Eukaryota, Metazoa, Chordata, Mammalia, Perissodactyla, Equidae.
UUUUUAAGUUGGAAGAAGUAUUUUUAAAAAGCAGAGCUCUGUAGUUAAAGAAAAUCCUGCAGUCAGAAUGCUUUGCUACUCCAUGUAUGGAUAUAGUGAAAACCUUUAGCCGCCUGAUAUGACUAUCGUUGACUUCUCAGUUUUAGUAUUCAGAGGCUGACCUGAACUUUGCGUGCUCUGCGUUAGAUUGCUCAACCUGUCUGCUCCACAGAAACUCACCUCGCUAACCACUGCUUGCUGCUUUCUCUUUUUGUGUUAGCCUACACCCAAAGCCACUGUCAGAUGUCAUGGAGAUGAGACUUCAGAAGCUGGAUUCUAGAGUAUAAAUGGAGAACAAUGAGAGAUGAAGACAGAGUGACAGGGUAAAUUAUGAUGGACCCUCAUGUGAUGACAAUGAAGCUGGAUUUUAUUUGUAAGACAUUAGGGAACAACUGGAGGAUGAAGAGAUGCAUCCAGAGCAAAGACGAGGUGCCUGCCUGUGAGGCCUGUCCUGCGCUGAAAGCUGCAGUUUGGGGUGCACACGUGCUUCUGGCUUUCACUUCCUGAGGAUCAUUCAUUUUGAGAAAUCCGAACAAAGGUGGAGGCCGAAGCUGCACUCUCGCUACUCUCUUCUGCUUCCUGACCACCCCGGGGUUUUUUCUUGUGGCCCUGCAUGGCAUGCCCCGCCUUGCCUCUUAUCUCUAGGACCUAAUUGGCUCACGCAAUUAUGGAGGUUGAGAAGUCACCAGAUCUGCAGUCUGAAGGCCUGAGAACCAGGAUAGCUGAUGGUGUAAGUUCCGGUCCAAGCGUGAAGGGAGGCGAAGACUGACGUCCCAGCUUGAAGACCAUCAGGACACUCAUGUCAUCAAAGUUGGAGGCAUUGAGAGACUGACUUCGGUUCCAGUUUAUCCUUGUCCUCUCCAGUUCAACAACAUCCGUCCUUCCUUAUGACCUUCUCUGCCAACUGCAGGCCCAGCCCCAGAUGCAGAAGCAGAAGGCUUCCAAAGAUUGUUUGACCAGCUCUCACAAUUGUGUAAGGUCAAACUCCUAUCAUAAAUCCCUUUUCAAGGUUAUUCAUAAUGGUUCUGUUUUCUAAUUGAUGUUGUAUACCCAUAUGUACAUAGAACCAGAGGGACAUACACAGAAAAGGGAUUUAAAUUAGGGGAUCAAUUGUUGAAGUUGGAAGUAAUAUUCUACUUUUUCAAAACUGAUGCAAGCUAAAGUGGUUAGCCAUGCUAGUUUAUUAAAAUGUGUAUAGCAAAAAACAUUUUAAAGUAGUUUUGUGUUUUCCUGGGCUUAGGAAAUAAUUAGAAAUAACAAAAGCUCAUGAAUCAGUUUUAGCUUCCAUCACUUUUUCAUAAUAGAUACUUUCUAAUUACAAAUAGUAGAGCCAGAGCUUACUUUCUGCAGAGAAAGUAGAGAAAGGGGAAGUCCAGGAUCUGUGUAGAGUCACUUUUUGGGCUCUUUUUUAUUUUUUGGUGAGGAAGAUUGGCCCUUAGCUAAUAUCUGUGCCAAUCUUCCU